GUGCUCGCUUCAGCAGCACAUAUAUUAAAAUUGGAAUGAUACACAGAAGAUUAGCAUGGCCCCUGCACAAGAAUGACAGGCAAAUUCAUGAAGCAUUUCAUAAUUUA
This is a small nuclear RNA of Cavia porcellus (domestic guinea pig), 107 nucleotides long. Lineage: Eukaryota; Metazoa; Chordata; Mammalia; Rodentia; Caviidae. The record is from Ensembl.